RNAcentral lists this long non-coding RNA (345 nucleotides) under Carica papaya (papaya). RNAcentral describes it as "long non-coding RNA (CPAP_LNC016301)". The record is from RNAcentral. Lineage: Eukaryota; Viridiplantae; Streptophyta; Magnoliopsida; Brassicales; Caricaceae.
UCAGCCUUGGGUUGGCUCCCAGUCAUCUUCUCUCGGUCACCCCCGUGACUCUCUAGCUUUCAAACCUGCACACACACACACAUGAAUACGCGUUUGGUCAAAAACACACACCGAAAGAGGAAAAAGAAUGCACCUGGCUCGGGUCAUUGCUCGAAAAAUUUGAACAACCUCAGUUUUGGAUUUCGCCAUCAGACAGUGCUCCUCGACUGCAAUUUCCUUUCCUUCCCUUCCCUUCUCUUCGAAUUUUCGCCUCUGCGACUCUCUCUCUUCUCAUCCCCCUUUCUUCCUCUUCCCACUCGGCCACACUCUUUUUCUUCCCUUCCUCUCUUUUCUUCUCACUUCCCC